This 976-nucleotide ribosomal RNA is filed under the name Lactobacillus gallinarum. Its description in RNAcentral is "bacterial SSU rRNA". It matches the Rfam family "Bacterial small subunit ribosomal RNA", at positions 379 to 1349 of the family's 1533-position model. The record is from RNAcentral. Lineage: Bacteria; Bacillati; Bacillota; Bacilli; Lactobacillales; Lactobacillaceae.
CAGUCUGAUGGAGCACGCCGCGUGAGUGAAGAAGGUUUUCGGAUCGUAAAGCUCUGUUGUUGGUGAAGAAGGAUAGAGGUAGUAACUGGCCUUUAUUUGACGGUAAUCAACCAGAAAGUCACGGCUAACUACGUGCCAGCAGCCGCGGUAAUACGUAGGUGGCAAGCGUUGUCCGGAUUUAUUGGGCGUAAAGCGAGCGCAGGCGGAAGAAUAAGUCUGAUGUGAAAGCCCUCGGCUUAACCGAGGAAUUGCAUCGGAAACUGUUUUUCUUGAGUGCAGAAGAGGAGAGUGGAACUCCAUGUGUAGCGGUGGAAUGCGUAGAUAUAUGGAAGAACACCAGUGGCGAAGGCGGCUCUCUGGUCUGCAACUGACGCUGAGGCUCGAAAGCAUGGGUAGCGAACAGGAUUAGAUACCCUGGUAGUCCAUGCCGUAAACGAUGAGUGCUAAGUGUUGGGAGGUUUCCGCCUCUCAGUGCUGCAGCUAACGCAUUAAGCACUCCGCCUGGGGAGUACGACCGCAAGGUUGAAACUCAAAGGAAUUGACGGGGGCCCGCACAAGCGGUGGAGCAUGUGGUUUAAUUCGAAGCAACGCGAAGAACCUUACCAGGUCUUGACAUCUAGUGCCAUCCUAAGAGAUUAGGAGUUCCCUUCGGGGACGCUAAGACAGGUGGUGCAUGGCUGUCGUCAGCUCGUGUCGUGAGAUGUUGGGUUAAGUCCCGCAACGAGCGCAACCCUUAUUAUUAGUUGCCAGCAUUAAGUUGGGCACUCUAAUGAGACUGCCGGUGACAAACCGGAGGAAGGUGGGGAUGACGUCAAGUCAUCAUGCCCCUUAUGACCUGGGCUACACACGUGCUACAAUGGGCAGUACAACGAGAAGCGAGCCUGCGAAGGCAAGCGAAUCUCUGAAAGCUGUUCUCAGUUCGGACUGCAGUCUGCAACUCGACUGCACGAAGCUGGAAUCGCUAGUAAUCGCGGAU